AGGAAGGCGACUCUCUGGUCUGUAACUGACAGUGAGGCGAGAAAGCGUGGAGAGCACACAGGAUUAGAUACCUUGGUAGUCCACGCCGUAAACGAUGAGUGCUAAGUGUUAGAGGGUCUCCGCCCUUUAGUGCUGAAGUUAACGCAUUAAGCACUCCGCCUGGGGAGUACGGCCGCAAGGCUGAAACUCAAAGGAAUUGACGGGGGCCCGCACAAGCGGUGGAGCAUGUGGUUUAAUUCGAAGCAACGCGAAGAACCUUACCAGGUCUUGACAUCCUCUGAAAACCCUAGAGAUAGGGCUUCUCCUUCGGGAGCAGAGUGACAGGUGGUGCAUGGUUGUCGUCAGCUCGUGUCGUGAGAUGUUGGGUUAAGUCCCGCAACGAGCGCAACCCUUGAUCUUAGUUGCCAUCAUUAAGUUGGGCACUCUAAGGUGACUGCCGGUGACAAACCGGAGGAAGGUGGGGAUGACGUCAAAUCAUCAUGCCCCUUAUGACCUGGGCUACACACGUGCUACAAUGGACGGUACAAAGAGCUGCAAGACCGCGAGGUGGAGCUAAUCUCAUAAAACCGUUCUCAGUUCGGAUUGUAGGCUGCAC
Molecule: ribosomal RNA, 595 nt
Filed under: Bacillus wiedmannii
Lineage: Bacteria; Bacillati; Bacillota; Bacilli; Caryophanales; Bacillaceae
Description: bacterial SSU rRNA
Rfam family: Bacterial small subunit ribosomal RNA
Source: RNAcentral